Molecule: ribosomal RNA, 468 nt
Filed under: uncultured bacterium
Lineage: Bacteria
Description: partial 16S ribosomal RNA
Rfam family: Bacterial small subunit ribosomal RNA
Source: RNAcentral
GACGAACGCUGGCGGCGUGCUUAACACAUGCAAGUCGAACGGAAAGGCCCUGCUUUUGUGGGGUGCUCGAGUGGCGAACGGGUGAGUAACACGUGAGUAACCUGCCCUUGACUUUGGGAUAACUUCAGGAAACUGGGGCUAAUACCGGAUAGGAGCUCCUGCUGCAUGGUGGGGGUUGGAAAGUUUCGGCGGUUGGGGAUGGACUCGCGGCUUAUCAGCUUGUUGGUGGGGUUGUGGCUUACCAAGGCUUUGACGGGUAGCCGGCCUGAGAGGGUGACCGGCCACAUUGGGACUGAGAUACGGCCCAGCCUGCUACGGGAGGCAGCAGCGGGGAAUAUUGCACAAUGGGCGGAAGCCUGAUGCAGCAACGCCGCGUGCGGGAUGACGGCCUUCGGGUUGUAAACCGCUUUCGCCUGUGACGAAGCGUGAGUGACGGUAAUGGGUAAAGAAGCACCGGCUAACUACGUG